Molecule: ribosomal RNA, 429 nt
Filed under: Bacteroidota bacterium
Lineage: Bacteria; Pseudomonadati; Bacteroidota
Description: Bacteroidetes bacterium partial 16S ribosomal RNA
Rfam family: Bacterial small subunit ribosomal RNA
Source: RNAcentral
UAGGGAAUCUUCGGCAAUGGGGGGAACCCUGACCGAGCAACGCCGCGUGAGUGAAGAAGGUUUUCGGAUCGUAAAGCUCUGUUGUUAAGGAAGAACGAGUGUGAGAAUGGAAAGUUCAUACUGUGACGGUACUUAACCAGAAAGGGACGGCUAACUACGUGCCAGCAGCCGCGGUAAUACGUAGGGCCCGAGCGUUGUCCGGAUUUAUUGGGCGUAAAGCGAGCGCAGGCGGUUAGAUAAGUCUGAAGUUAAAGGCAGUGGCUCAACCAUUGUAGGCUUUGGAAACUGUUUAACUUGAGUGCAGAAGGAGAGAGUGGAAUUCCAUGUGUAGCGGUGAAAUGCGGAGAUAUAUGGAGGAACACCGGUGGCGAAAGCGGCUCUCUGGUCUGUAACUGACGCUGAGGCUCGAAAGCGUGGGGAGCGAACAGG